Molecule: long non-coding RNA, 886 nt
Organism: Rosa rugosa (rugosa rose)
Lineage: Eukaryota; Viridiplantae; Streptophyta; Magnoliopsida; Rosales; Rosaceae
Exons: 4
Source: RefSeq, a predicted model, not a curated record
CAUGGUUGGAGUUGCCCUUAGGCGGGACAAGAUGGCGCUGCCCUCGCAGCUUAAAAUAUAGAAUCCUAUAAACACAUUAAACUACCUACCAAUAUAUAAGCACUCUCUACACCUGUUCUCUGUCUUGGCUCAUCCCUCCGUCUCCCGACUUAGGGUAUCUCUCUUCACAGAUAACCACGGCGGACGGUUGGCCAACCUCGUGCGACUACCCAUCCCUUCUAAUUAGACCUUCUCAUCCUCCCCAAAACCCCACAUAAACUACAUGACUGCGACUACUUUGGUUUAAUUUUUUCUUCCACUCAUCUGAAAUUUCAUUCGCACUUUUCUUUCUUUGGUUUGGUAUGGUGCAAUUGCUGAUUACAUUUUUGUUUUAUGGAUUAAAUUUUGGGCUUUUGUCUUUGGGUGCUUAUAGGUGGUUUUUGGGCUGCCAAUUGAAAUUCUCCCUCAUAUCCAGGUUUUUAGAUUCUCAUUCUGAAGCCUCCAGUGAAGCCUCUGAUGCUUUGACAAUUGAGCAACUCUGAGCUUACAAGCUGGAACUUCAGGAAGGCAUAUCUCUUUGCAAUCGGAACCCAAAGAAAGGAAUUGAGAGUUCAGGAGAAAAUGAAGAAGAGGAUGAUAUGUUAGGGCAAAGCUCAAGAGGCAUCACAGAGUACUCCUCGAGUCAUACAAAUUACAUGGGAGUAUUUUACUAGCAACAAUAAUGGUAUGCUUUUCAUGGACAUUGAUACCUUGAUUUUCAUGGACCACCAUUUAGGAAGUAUCUUUUGUACAUGUAACUAAGCAACUAAAUAUCUUCUAAGAUAUUUUGUUUUUGCAAUUGAGGAACUAUGUAUGUAUAUAAUAACUACUCUUUAUUUAAUAUAAGUCUGGAAGUGUUAUUGAUCAA